RNAcentral lists this unclassified non-coding RNA (305 nucleotides) under plant metagenome. RNAcentral's name for it is "partial contains 5.8S ribosomal RNA, internal transcribed spacer 2, and large subunit ribosomal RNA". The stretch from base 1 to 105 matches the Rfam family "5.8S ribosomal RNA", at positions 50 to 154 of the family's 154-position model. The record is from RNAcentral.
GAAAUGCGAUAAGUAGUGUGAAUUGCAGAAUUCAGUGAAUCAUCGAAUCUUUGAACGCACAUUGCGCCCUUUGGUAUUCCAAAGGGCAUGCCUGUUCGAGCGUCAUUUGUACCCUCAAGCUUUGCUUGGUGUUGGGCGUCUUGUCUCCAGUUCGCUGGGGACUCGCCUUAAAGUUAUUGGCAGCCGGCCUACUGGUUUCGGAGCGCAGCACAAGUCGCGCUCUCUUCCAGCCAAGGUCAGCAUCCACAAAGCCUUUUUUCAACUUUUGACCUCGGAUCUGGUAGGGAUACCCGCUGAACUUAAGC